RNAcentral lists this ribosomal RNA (725 nucleotides) under uncultured Planctomycetota bacterium. RNAcentral's name for it is "bacterial SSU rRNA". It matches the Rfam family "Bacterial small subunit ribosomal RNA", at positions 75 to 781 of the family's 1533-position model. The record is from RNAcentral. Lineage: Bacteria; Pseudomonadati; Planctomycetota.
UUUUUCGGAAGGCGAGUAAAGUGGCGAACGGGUGAGUAAUGCAUAGAUAACUUGCCCCUGAGAUGAGAAUAACGUUUCGAAAGGAACGCUAAUACUCAAUGUUGCCCUGGUUCCUUGGAUCCAGGGUGAAAGGAGGCCUCUGAUUUAAGCUUCCGCUCAGGGAGAGGUUUAUGUCCUAUUAGCUUGUUGGUGAGGUAAAGGCUCACCAAGGCUGCGAUGGGUAGCCGACCUGAGAGGGUGACCGGCCACAUUGGGACUGAGACACUGCCCAAACUCCUACGGGAGGCUGCAGUCGAGAAUCUUCCGCAAUGCGCGCAAGCGUGACGGAGCGACGCCGCGUGGGUGACGAAGGCCUUCGGGUUGUAAAGCCCUGUCAGUAAUCAGGAAUUGCAGGCGGUGAAUAACUGUCCUGUUUGACCAGGUUGCAGAGGAAGCACCGGCUAAAUACGUGCCAGCAGCCGCGGUAAUACGUAUGGUGCAAACGUUGUUCGGAAUCACUGGGCCUAAAGAGCGCGUAGGCGGUUUGGUAAGUCAGGUGUGAAAUCCCUCGGCUCAACCGAGGAACUGCACCUGAUACUGUCUGACUAGAGUGCAGGAGGGGAGAGUGGAAUUCCUGGUGGAGCGGUGAAAUGCGUAGAUAUCAGGAGGAACGCCGGCGGCGAAAGCGACUCUCUGGCCUGCUACUGACGCUGAAGCGCGAAAGCUAGGGGAGCAAACGGGAUUAG